Non-coding RNA from Coturnix japonica (Japanese quail), 2024 nucleotides. Lineage: Eukaryota; Metazoa; Chordata; Aves; Galliformes; Phasianidae. The record is from RefSeq and is a predicted model, not a curated record.
CUCCCGAAAUGAAGCAAUAUUUUCAUUGUUUUCCGCAUAAAAAUGAACUAUUUCUAGCAGUCACUUCAAGGGCAUUCACUUCAUUUAGCAUCCAAGACAUAAUAAAGUCCGGUGAGGAGUAAUUAUCCCUUAUGAGAAGAAUAAGUGCAGCUUUUCUCCUGUAGAACAUUCCAUUUAAUUCUGGAGCCUGGUUGUGCCUUAAGGAACCCCAGCACGAGGUUCCUGCAGAAGAAAAGCUCCCUAAAACACCAUUACCAUGUUGCUGUGCAGAGGGAAUGUCCUGCUGCUUCUCACAGCUUGCCCACCACAGGUGACCGUUUGUAUGUCUGCUCCUUGAAAUCCUACUGAUUUGUGAAUGCUGAAACAUGGAGUCCAGAAAACAGUGGUGUAUCUGUAUAUUUAAUAGGCUUUCCAGGAUGACCCCUUCACUACACAUCUGUUUCUUUUCCACAUGCGAGCUGUUCCUCAGAAGUGUAAUCACCCGGCGUGAGAGAAUGGCUGUCCUGGGGACAUCACCAUAGCAAGUAACGUACCAUUAGGGAUGUGGUGAGCAGAGGUACCAGACAGCUCUCCUGCUGCAGCUGAUGUUGCUUCGGGCCCUGCAGAAACAAGAGAGGGAUGCAGCAGGACGUGGCUGUGUAUGCAGAGGCAGCAUAAAGCAUUGCUCACCACCAGCAGCCCCACUCCCAAUGCUGGGCACUGGUCCCACCUCCUGCACAUUACAGCUCUGCAGUCCUGGUGAGUAGUGCCAUGCUUUCUUUCAUGUCUAUGAAAUGAAGUUAUUUGUGCUCCAUUCUCCUCUUACCAAGAGGAUGCAAUGGUGAAUAUCUUGGCCUGGAUGGCAGUUGGGCUUCCGUUGUGUUUGCCUUGCUAUAUUGUUUUGACCGAAUGACGUUCUGUAACCUAAUAUUCCCUGUGGGAAGCUGUUGUGUAAAAUGAGACUGUUUCCGGGUAUAUAAUAAUGUUUUUGAUAAAUGCUUCAUAUUGCAUGCUCCAGUUCAUGAUUUAUAGUCUUUAGCAGUAAUCAGGGAAGGGGCAUUUCCUUUCUUUGCUUGCCUGGAGACAAAGCAGUGCUUUGCAAAUGUUUGGCUUUCCUUUUAGCUGCAAUAGUAAUUGUUCCCCAUGCUAGUCUCUAGGCCUCAAAAUCCUUGCAGGUACUGUAAGAAAAAAAGCAGAGUGCAGAGCAGUGUUUGUGGAUGUGAGAUGAUUUUGGAUGGGAAAUUUAGUGGGAAGAAAAGACAAUUUUUUGCUGGAUUGCAAAUGGGAGGGUCUGGAUUAAGUCUUGUCUUCAAUCAGACUCACUGAUUGACUUUGCUCAUGUGCCUUGAUUGUAAUUUUGCUCAGCCCUGGUUACUGGAGGGUUUUUAUUUCUGUGUAACGGAAGAUGAGUUGAAGUUUGGUGGCAAUAGAUGUGGGAUGGAUAGGACUGUUCAGUUUGGCUCACAUGUGAGUUGAAGCCCUUUAUGACUGGUGGCCAUUUUUCACAUGGCAGGCAGAAAAAGAAAUAGUUGUGACAGGAGAGAUGAAUGAGUGAUUCUUGCUGUGCUUAUCCCUGCCUGAAGGUCUUCUGGGUUGGGCAGGACUCAGGGUGAAGCUAGAAAGAAAUCCUGCUGAUCUGGAAUCCUUUUCCCCAUGGAAUCAUACACAACAAAUCUCACUUCCCAAAUUAAUGCACAGAUUCAAAGCUUUGUGACCCAAGUCCCACCACAGAGAUGCCUACGCUGUGGUGGCUCUGCAAUGGCCAUCUGCUCCAGCUCUGUCAACCAGCAGCAGCCAUCCUAUGAGUAACAGUUGCUGUAACAUCCUAGCUAAAUAAAUCACAUCACUCUCUAAUCCCAUGCAUGGGGCUAGCACCUGCUCUUCCUUUGCUUACCAGAUGGGGCUCGGUAUGCCAGAAUGUUUCCCCCAAAGCCACUUUCUCAGCAGCCCUGGGAAUCUCUUCGCUUACCCAGGUGAAAUCACAGCUGCUGAGCUCCCUUUUUUGCAGUGACAAGGAUUGGACUGAGCAGCUUUACGUACCCAUG